Molecule: RNA transcript, 6128 nt
Organism: Schistocerca piceifrons (Central American locust)
Lineage: Eukaryota; Metazoa; Arthropoda; Insecta; Orthoptera; Acrididae
Gene name: dnaJ homolog subfamily C member 10-like
Exons: 14
Source: RefSeq, a predicted model, not a curated record
GCACUGAAGCUGAGAUUUGGAGAACAGUAGCAACAGAACAUCUCUGCGAUAUGUCGCAGCCGACUGUCAACCAGAGUAUUUAACCAUAAGCGCAGAAAUUGUAUGAAUCGGAAGCUUGUUUUGGAAAGACCCGUGUUUAAAGUAGACGACUUGGAUGAUGUGGACCGCCCACACUUUGACAGAAGCGGAUGCGUGAGCACAGCAACAUAUACCGCAUAUUUAUAUCAAGAAUACUCACUGUUUGAACGAUGUUUACGCUGGGACUAUCAAAGUUUUUGAUUUUAAUGUUAGUGGUUAGUAGUUUGGCACAAGAUUAUUACGAACUUCUAGGUGUAACAAAAAGCGCAAAUGACAAAGAAAUAAGAAAAGCCUUUAAAAAACUAGCUGUAAAAAUGCACCCCGAUAAAAACAAGGGGGAUCCAGAUGCUCAUGCGAAUUUUGUGAAACUCACAAAAGCAUAUGAAGUUCUAAAAGACCAGGAGUCCCGAAAGAAAUACGAUCUGUUUGGAGAAGAUGGUGUAAAAACAACCGGACAGCAAACAUAUCACUCCUGGAGUUAUUACCGGGAUAAUUUUGGCAUAUAUGACGACGACCCCCAGAUUAUAACACUGAACGGUGCCGAUUUCGAGGAAAGUGUUCUUGGGUCAGAUGCUCUCUGGUUCAUAAACUUCUACUCUCCGAUGUGCUCCCAUUGUCAUACUUUGGCUCCUGUGUGGCGUCGGCUGGCACAAGAACUUGAGGGUGUUGUUCGGUUUGGUGCUGUCAACUGUGAAGAGGAAUGGGUUCUUUGUCGUCAAGAACAGAUUCAUUCAUAUCCUUCACUGUUCCUGUACCCAAUGAGAGAAAGAUAUGUUGGUGAUCGUGAGAUGCCACAACUAAAAGAGUUUAUACUGAAGAGACUGCAAGUCGAAAUUAUUAAGAUUGAUGGUGAUACUUGGAAGAUUUUGUCAAAUCCAGAUGACCAGUACCAGGGCAUUCCGUGGGUUCUAUUCUUGCUUGAUGGAACAUCAGACAUUGAACAAGAGGAAGUAAGGCUCAUAGUAGCUGCCAUGUUGGAAGGCUUGGCUCUUGUUGGAGAGGUGAACUGUGUGGUGAGUCAUGCAUUGUGCCAGGAAGUUUCUGGUGGCCGAACACAUCCUAUUGGCUUAAUUAUCUUUUGGAAGAACAAAGACUCAUUGUACCCGCUUGACACAGUGACUUCAGCAAAAGAUAUUACUGAACAGGUGCUUUCAUUUCUCCCACAUGCCACAGAAUUUGAUGCUGAGACAUUUGAGGAUAUGCGUACGCAACUCCGUUUAGAUCCAGAGGCACCAUUCUGGUUGGUACACUUUUAUGCAGGGGUCGAAGAUGUAAAGCAGUCAUUAGACUUGAAAAGAUUGCCCGCGCUUGUUGGGGACAUAAAACUUGGCAGGUUCCACUGUGGAAGGGCUGUAGACGCUUGCCGUGCACUACCAGUGUCUCGAUAUCCACUGUUUGCACUGUUCAAGCCUGGCGGUGGUCAUGAAGUGCAUCAUGGUCGUGAGACAGCAUACGAUAUAGCAACAUUUGCCAGACACAGUCGUGCAGCUCCCUACAUGCGAUCGAUAACGCCCGAAGAGUUCCUUCAGCAGACUCAAGAAGGUGGUUCCUUUUUUGUCGACUUCUUUGCACCAUGGUGUCCACCUUGCUUACGCUUGCUGCCAGAGCUCCGAAAGGCUAGUGGUACAUUGGGUGGCAGUGUAACUUUUGCAACUCUGGAUUGCUCUCAGCACGCAGCUUUUUGCCGUCAACAGUCCGUACGCUCCUAUCCGACUACAGUGUUGUACAACCAUACUGGCACGCAUCCACAUUUCUUCCAUGGGAGGACAGCAAGUGAUCUGGUUGACUUCAUAAGAGAUGUGCUGCAUCCAGUAGUUGUGGAACUGACAGAGAAGAACUUUGAGUCUACAGUUGCCAGUAAACCAGUCGACCAUAUGUGGCUUGUUGACUAUUUUGCUCCAUGGUGUGGUCCUUGCCAGCAACUUUCUCCCCAAUGGAGAAAGCUCGCCAAGCUUUUGUCUGACCAACGAAACAUUCAUAUUGGAGAAGUCAACUGUGAGCGUGAGCCAUCAUUGUGUGUGCAACAGGGUGUCAGAACUUAUCCAACAAUUAGAUUAUACCCUUUUGGUAGUGUUGGACUUGCCACAUUUGCGAUGUAUUCAGGAUAUCAUCGUGAUGCACGUUCCUUGCGACAGUGGGUAUACAACUUUUUGCCAUCUUCUGUGGAAUCACUAACCCCCGGCUUGUUUGAGGCCAGAGUUCUCAGAGACACAGGUGAAAUGUGGCUUGUCGAUUUCUAUGCUCCAUGGUGUGGCCAUUGUGUCAGCUUUUCGCCAGAAUUCCAGUUAGUUGCACAGAAACUCGAAGGGCGUGUGCGAUGUGCAAAAGUCGAUUGCGAAAAAUAUCGCAACCUUUGUGUGCAGCAGCAAGUGAAUGCAUAUCCUACAGUGAUAUUCUACCCGGGCAGACGUGAAAUUUCCAGCCAGUCAGCAGAGCAGAUAAUUCGUCGUGUUGAGGAGUUCAUUGCAGACUUGCAAAGAGAUGAUAAAUAUAAUAGACAUGAUGAAUUUUAAACUUAGCAAAAAGUAACAAUUAACAUAAUACAUAAAAAGAAAGGCCCAAAAGUAAGGCAGAUGCACUGCAUUCAGCAACUGUUCCAACCAUCUUGGCUUGAUGUUACCAUAUAAGCUUUCCAGUAUUGUGGCACAACACAGUAAUGAAGACACAAACGCUGUUUACUACAGUGUUCAAGUAUACUAUGUAUCAUACUUUUGUAUGAACGUGUUAUGUCAUCAGCUUGCUAUAGGCAGAAAAAGAAUCUAAUGUGAUUGAAUUAUUAUUAUUAUUAUUAUUAUUAUUAUUAUUAUUAGAUCUUUGAUACUGAGAUCUGCAGUCUGUGAUACUAUUACUCAUAUUGCAACAAACUAUUUUGUACAUUAGUGUUACUAUGGUAAUUAACAGAGUAAGUGGUUUCAAGGUGUUGUACUUCACACUGUACAUCACAUACUAGUUUUCAUGCUUAAUAAUAAGCUUUUUCAAGAACCACAAAGUUGCUGUAAAGUUAAUAUAAUAGAUUCCCUGAAAUGCAAACAUGUGAUAUUCUGUGUUGAUUACAGUUCCUUAAGAGUGAUUCUUGUCUUUUCUGUACUAAUUUUUGUGAAAAUUUUUAUAAGUAUCACACAAGUUUUAUCUGAAUAUUAUUUAUACUUGUUUGCUGUGUUUCCAUUAUUUCACCAGACAGAGGGAACAGAUUUCAGUAGUUUAAUUUCCAAAAAAUAGGUAUAUGGAGGGUGAUGUACUUUACUACAUUUUCAUUCAGUACAGCAUUCAAUGAUCUGCUGCUCAUUCUGUUAGCAGUUGUAAUAUUUUUUUGUCGAAUAUUCCAUUAUUUAUAAAGCAGAGACAACCUGUGUAGUGAAAUUAGCAAUUGUUUAGUGAAAUUAGCAAUUUUACCCGUACCUACAGAAUGUAUUCACCAUAUCAAAUUUUUGGGAGUUAGUUUAUCAUUAUUUUACUGAUAUUGGAUUUAAAUGUAAUUUCACAGGUAUAACAGAAGUAUUAUUGUGUGUGAAUCUCAUUCCCUAUGUUUUGUGGUAUAACUCUGUUAACCUGUUGCUGUCUAGUUGGUGCCAUGGUUGAAAAAAUGGCAGUCACUAUUCUGUGUCAUUGAAAUAAUCAUUCUUUGUGAUUUGGGCUCUGGAAAUAUUUCAUAUUUCUCAUAGCUCUCACCUACUGGGCUUCCAAGCUUUUCUGGAUGAAAACUGAUAUUGUCAUUUAGAGUUUGAAUGUGAUAAAAAUACACAUUCUCACUACUAUAAACAAUAUCCAGCUGAAGUAAAGCUCUUCAUUGAGUUUUUCUGGCAUGUUCUUGAACUUUUCCUUCGUCUGUUUAAGAAAUUGAUAAAAUUAGGCAUGUCAAGUCAUUACCACCAUUAGUUGAAUUUCCACUAUUGUUUAGGACACACAAUUUUUCAUUUAAUCAUUCACACUUCAUAUUUCGUAAAGACCAUCAUGAAGGAGAGCCCUUGGGAGUAUUUAAUACAUUAAGUUUUAUUAGUGUAUUCCCUCAUGUGUCUUAACAUUAUUUCCGAAUCGAACCUGAAGUGACAAAAAAUAUGAAGUUAAACAUCUUUGAAAAAAAUAAUGAAUGUUUAUCUAGGGAAAAACAAGAAAAAAUCCUGUAACUUAAUAAUUUCUCAUUUGUCGUCAAGAAAAAUAUUUAAAUUUAAUUUCGCUGACCAUUUAGCAAGUUAUGAGACUAAAUUGGUAAUAUGAAUUAAUCUUUUAAGAAUCCAAUAAUGAAUGUUGUUUUGAAAUGUCUGUAUAAUUGUAUUUGAAAUUACACUAUUGUACAUUAGAUAUUUCAAUAUUUGUUGUAUUUAAGCCAUUGAAUAAUUAUUGUGGCAAGGAAAUCUCAAAUUCUAAAAUAGCUCUCUAUCUAUUUCACAUAAGUUGUAAAGUGUUUCACACUUUCAAGUCAAUCUGUAAAAACUGAUUAAUCAGUAUUGCUUUGUAUUUCAUUAUACAAAAUAGCCAUUACAGUUCAUUGCCAAACUGAGAUCUGCUGUGAGGAAUAUUAGAGGGACAUAUAAUACUUCCAGGAGUUGUUUCCAUAUCAUCAUGUAUGAUACCACCUGUACAGUAUUGUUCUCACAUACUUAAAAAUUGGACUGUAAUGUCUGAAAAAUUAUUUUAGUAUAAUGAUGAUUUUUAUUGGUCUUUAAUGUUAUAAUUUAUUUUCACAAGGAAAUCAAUUUAAUUCUGCUUAAUAUCGUGGGGCCCGCUCAUUCUUUCCCAUCAUUUUUUCACUAAUAUUCGUGUAGUUGUCUGUGUAAUAGGGACGUAAAGGGAUACAGUUUCCUGUGAUGAGUUGGACAUUCUAUUCAAGACUGAUUAUGCUGCAAAUACAAUUGACUUGGAAGGGCUAUCUUGCCCUCCACUUUGUAUGUAUAGUAUUAUUUGAACAUGUGUUUAAAUUUUGCAGUUGCUGCUAUUUGUUGAAAGGUGGUGAUGGCUUCACUUCAGUGCUCUAGAGCCAUACAGUCCUAAGCACAAAAUAUUUAUGACCUGAUACUAAGGGCCAUUGACCAUACAGGGUGUACUUGAAGCGCACAAAUACAUUUUUUGUGACUGCCAUUUGCUACGUGUCCACAUCUAGUGAGGUCGUGGUAAUACACUAACAACCAGUCUGCCUUGAAAAUGAUGAACAGAGUAAUAAAAUCUGUCUCUAUUCUUUGAGGUGUUUCGACUGUGUACAACUUAUCAUUCAGUCACAACACAUCAACGAAUGAGCUAAGUAUGGAUAUGUACGCUAUUUAUGAAGGAAGCUGUACUUGUAACUGAUCAUUGCAUAGCCAGCCAACUUGUGGAUAUGGUUAAAAAGAUGCAGCAACACAAUACAGCAAUCUUAUUUAGAUCAUAACAUAAAUAAUUUCAGAGUAAAGGAGAUAAUUCACUGAAUAGUAUAAGCAUUGAGUUAUUGACAGGCAUACAAAAAAUAACAAAAACUUUUUCUUUUGUAUGUGCCUGUUAACAACUCAACGCUUUCUUCUAUUAUUAGGUCAGUUGUCCCCUUUACAUCGAAAUUAUUUACAUUCCACCAGUACUUCCUUUAUCAUAUUUAGGUCACAACAAUAAUGUGAGGUAGUGAUAAUGUUGAAAAGUACUGUUGUAAAGAAAUGUUCAUGGAAUUAAUUACUUAAAAGCUAUUAUGAGAUAUGCUAAUCUAUGAUUAAUUCAUGUUUUGUAAGUGCUGUGUACUUUCUGUGUGGUGAACAAAUUUUUUUUUUUGUAUUAGGUUAAUGUUCCUUUGCUAUUUUCCUCUUUGGGAGAGGAAAUGGGUAGAGAUUAUGAAUCUCAUCAUUAAUGGAAGCUGGAACUUUUCAUUCCGAUGCACUUACGUGGAUCGACGGAUUGUAUGUUUAAUGUGCAUAAAGGUACAUUGACACAUUCACAGUUAUGAAUAUUUGUUACAUUUUCCAUAUUGUAACUGUUCCAGUUGUCUGUUCAGUGCAGUAAUAAUUUUCUUAUACGGUCCCAAACAAAUAGAGCUGUAAAAGAAAAUAUGUAUAUAUUUUAAAAACGAAGUAAUAAAUGAUUUUAAGUAUAAA